This 253-nucleotide ribosomal RNA is filed under the name uncultured bacterium. Its description in RNAcentral is "partial 16S ribosomal RNA". It matches the Rfam family "Bacterial small subunit ribosomal RNA", at positions 524 to 776 of the family's 1533-position model. The record is from RNAcentral.
UACGGAGGGUGCGAACGUUAAUCGGAAUCACUGGGCGUAAAGCGCGCGUAGGCGGUUUGUUAAGUCGGAUGUGAAAUCCCCGGGCUUAACCUGGGAAUUGCAUUUCAAACUGGCCGACUAGAGUACGGUAGAGGGAGGUAGAAUUUCCUGUGUAGCGGUGAAAUGCGUAGAUAUAGGAAGGAAUACCAGUGGCGAAGGCGGCCUCCUGGAUCGAUACUGACGCUGAGGCGCGAAAGCGUGGGGAGCAAACAGG